Molecule: ribosomal RNA, 519 nt
Filed under: uncultured bacterium
Lineage: Bacteria
Description: partial 16S ribosomal RNA
Rfam family: Bacterial small subunit ribosomal RNA
Source: RNAcentral
GACGAACGCUGGCGGCGUGCCUAAUACAUGCAAGUCGAGCGAGUCUGCCUUGAAGAUCGGAGUGCUUGCACUCUGUGAAACAAGAUACAGGCUAGCGGCGGACGGGUGAGUAACACGUGGGUAACCUGCCCAAGAGAUCGGGAUAACACCUGGAAACAGAUGCUAAUACCGGAUAACAACAGAUGAUGCCUAUCAACUGUUUAAAAGAUGGUUCUGCUAUCACUCUUGGAUGGACCUGCGGUGCAUUAGCUAGUUGGUAGGGUAACGGCCUACCAAGGCGAUGAUGCGUAGCCGAGUUGAGAGACUGAUCGGCCACAUUGGGACUGAGACACGGCCCAAACUCCUACGAGAGGCAGCAGUAGGGAAUCUUCCACAAUGGACGCAAGUCUGAUGGAGCGACGCCGCGUGAGUGAAGAAGGGUUUCGGCUCGUAAAGCUCUGUUGUUGGUGAAGAAGGACAGGGGUAGUAACUGACCUUUGUUUGACGGUAAUCAAUUAGAAAGUCACGGCUAACUACGUG